This 399-nucleotide long non-coding RNA is filed under the name Mytilus galloprovincialis (Mediterranean mussel). Lineage: Eukaryota; Metazoa; Mollusca; Bivalvia; Mytilida; Mytilidae. The record is from RNAcentral.
AACAAAUAAACAAUAAAUAGAUAAAGAAAGGGGAAACAAUAGAAUGAAAGAAAGAAUGAAUGAAAAAAAGAAAGAAAUUUAAAAAAGAGAGAAAAUAAAUAGAUAAAAAGAUAUACAAACGAGCUGUUUUCAGUUACUGACAAUAAUAUCUGUUUUCGAGUAGAUUUUAUUUUGUCUGCACCGAGUCUGUUUUAAAAGCACAGGUUGUUAAAAUUGACAACGCUAAUAGGAGAAAUAAGAUAUCUACCAUUACAUUAUCCUGUUUUUAAUGCUUAAGCCCUCCCCUUUUCCAGAAAAAAAAAUACACGCACACACAAACAAUAUUCCAACAAAAACCAAUUUAGAGGGACAGCAAAACUUUAUACAGACACACACCGUUUAUCAAAGCUACAUUUCGAC